Sarcophilus harrisii (Tasmanian devil) is the source of this 1688-nucleotide long non-coding RNA. The record is from Ensembl. Lineage: Eukaryota; Metazoa; Chordata; Mammalia; Dasyuromorphia; Dasyuridae.
AUGAGACUUUUUACUUUAAAAAUUUUGUUACACUUUUACUUUUCCUUACUUUCCACUAUUAGGCCAUCAGGUGGUUGGGGAAUUUCUAUGCUAUUAGUCUGUCAUGAAAUAAUUGUGGUUCUUAUUCGCCUACCUCGCCCCCCAAGAGAAUCAAUAACAUCACAGGAUAUCAUAUCACAGGCAAGACAAAACUGACGAUGACUUGGGAUGGUCUGAUAAUGAUGAUCUUGGCAUCUUUGAUGUCUGACCAGGCUCUAAGCCCUCCACACUACCUGCUUCAGCUGCCUUCCUGACUGCUGGAACAAAUUGUUCUCAUCUACCCAUUCACCAGGAGAAAUCUUCACCUGCUUGGGACAGGUAUCUCUUACCUCACCAGUGGGUUUGGGGCAUGUCAGUGACCCUUCAUGUGGUUUGGCCUGUCUGUUGAGAUAGUUAUACUGGGGCGUGGCCACUGCACAUGCUAUAGUGUUUUACUGGAAUUGAGUAAGGAUUGAGAUGGUCAGAAUUUUGCAUUAGAAAAGCCACUUUGAAAAAAAAAAGAAAGAAAAGAAAACCAGUUUGGGUUGCUAGGAAGCAUUGGAAUAAGGAGAGAUCUGAUGCAGGAAGAUCAAUUAGAAAGAAAUGGUGAGGUCCUGCACUAAAGCUGUGGGUUGGGAAAAAAGAAAAAAAAAAAGCAUGUAUGAAAAUAAUGCUGUAGAAAUAGAAAUGACAAGAAUUGGCAACUGAUUACAUAUGUGAGAUAAUUUAGAGGAAAGAGUUGAAGAUGAUCCUGUUGACCUGCCUUGAUAAAAGGAAUUUGCUCACCUUGGAGUUCUCAGUCUAAUGACAUCGCAGGUCCAGUCCCUCUCUUUAUCCCUAUUAUGAUGGCAAACAGUUGAAUCUUCCCUUCCAUUGCCCCUGAUCUACACAACAGAUGGUUCACUUCAAAUAGCCUAAAGUCUUACAAAUUAUGGGGUGCUCACUUUUUUUGACUCCAUUACAUAAGCAAGAAAAACAAUGCCAGCAGAUAGACUUUGCUAGUGUAGAAAAAUCUUAUUUAUAAUAGUAUUAGAAAUUUAGAUUAUGAAAAGUAAAAAGCCCCAAGGAAGUUAACUGGAAAGAUUAUACAGAGGAACCAGGAGGCCAAGGAAGUAAUAGUAGAAAAUACCUUCAAUCUAGAAUGAGAAGACAUGGGGUCUAGUCCAGACUCUGCUACCUCUUAACUAGUUCUGUGUCCUUAGAAAGUCUCAUGAUUCUCUGAGCUUCAGAGAUUGUAAAUUGUAUAUUUACAAUAGAGAAUCUGUUGUAUAUAUAGUGUUCUUUUGAAGACCAGUUAUACGUACUGGGGCAGCUAGGUGAUAUAACAGAUACAGUACCAGACCUAUAGUCAAGAAGACCUGAGUUCAAAUUUGGCCUCAGAUACUAGUAUCUGUGUGACCCUGGGCAAGUCACUUAAUCCUUUUCCCCUUAGUUUCUUCAUAUGCAAAAUGAUCCAAAAAAAAAAAAAAAUGGCAAAUUAUUCCAGUAUCUUUGCCAAGAAAAUCCCAGGUGGGGUCAAGAAGAUUUGAACAUGACUGCAGAAUGACUCAACAAUAAUACAGUUAUAUACAUGCUAUAUAAUUGAAAAACACUGUAUUUUAAGUAUAAUUUUUUGCCACAUCAAUGGAAACAAAGUAGCAGAUAUAACUUAGAGCCAAUAACAAAUUGAU